AACUUUUGACAAUGGAUCUCUUGGCUCUCGCAUCGAUGAAGAACGCAGCGAAAUGCGAUAAGUAAUGCGAAUUGCAGAAUUCAGUGAGUCAUCGAAUCUUUGAACGCAUAUUGCGCCCUUUGGUAUUCCGAAGGGCAUGCCUGUUCGAGCGUCAUUAUCAACCAUCAAGCCUGGCUUGUCGUUGGACCCCUCUGCCGUUGAAAUAUAUGGCAGGUCCGAAUGAUAAUGACGGCGUCGUGUGUUGACCCUAGAUGCGACGAGCUUUUUAUAGCAUGCAUUGAAGUGGUCGACCGACCCGGUCUUUAACCAUCAUUUUCUAAGGUUGACCUCGGAUCAGGUAGGAAUACCCGCUGAACUUAAGCAUAUCAAUAAGCGGAGGCU
Molecule: unclassified non-coding RNA, 381 nt
Filed under: uncultured Verrucariales
Lineage: Eukaryota; Fungi; Ascomycota; Eurotiomycetes; Verrucariales
Description: sequence contains ITS2
Rfam family: 5.8S ribosomal RNA (bases 1-154)
Source: RNAcentral